RNAcentral lists this long non-coding RNA (317 nucleotides) under Brassica napus (rape). RNAcentral describes it as "long non-coding RNA (BNAP_LNC019457)". Lineage: Eukaryota; Viridiplantae; Streptophyta; Magnoliopsida; Brassicales; Brassicaceae. The record is from RNAcentral.
GUGGGAAUAUAUUUCUCUUUCUUAUUUCCCUGUUCAUCCUCCACUUAUGGUCAUGCUUAGUGUUCUCGUUCCGUAAGAAGCGGAGGUAUCUACAUAUGUACCUGUGGAGCUGAUGAUGAGAGCGGUUUCUUUCUUGUUUUGUUUCAAACUACUUAUCAAAGUUUGUUGAGUGAGUCCCUUAGCUCUGGGGUUUGUCAAUGGGAGUGGCGAGCGCGCAUCGGAGCUCGUCAUCCUCCUCAGGAAUCUGUGCUGUCGGCAAGGGAGAUACCUGCCCCGAUGUAUUAGAUCGAGCAAUAAGAUCGUCUCCGCUUGAUCUG